CCCACAUCUUUUUCUUCUUUCCCUCCUACCCUAAUUAUCGAUGCUCCUUCCUUUCCCUCUUGUCUCUCUCGGUCGCUACCUAGGGUUUUUAUUUAAAGCUUGAAUCGAUCGACUGAGGUAACCAAAGGUCAAGCGAACUGGGAAAUGGUUUUCAGUGAAAUCUACUGUUACUCUUUGAAAUCGGAUCCAAUAUUACCUUCUCCCCAUCCUUCUUGUCUCUAUCGGUUGCUACCUAGGGUUUUUCGUGAAAGUUUGAAUCGAUCGACUAGGGUAACUAAACGGUAAGUGAACCGGGAAAGGGAAGCAAUAAAUCCAACACUCACUCUCAAAUCGAUUCUACUGGACAAGGUUUCAAUUUGGGGCUCUCUACAUUCUCAUCUAUUGUACUUUCAUUCAAGAUUACAUCGGUUUUUUUGGUAUCCAGUAACCGAAGCAUACAUUCUCAUCGAUUCCACUUUUGUUUAUCUAAACAAAAAUAUCGCAUAUUCUGUAAAAGCCCUAAACCAGCCACCGUUGGUUAUCACCUCCACCAUCGUUGAUGUCGCCCUACUUCCCAGAUGGUCUGUGUGUGUGCGGUAAGACUGAACAGAAAAUGGGAAAGAAAAGAAAAAACGAGCAGAAAGAGAGAGAAUAAAGUUUAAGGUUGAGGGGAGGAUUCAUCGGAGCUUUGUUCUAGAUGGUAUGGGUUCACCCUGAAAUGGUUUAAAGAAGUGUACGGUCAUCUCUGAAGAUCACAAUCAUCCAUACCUUAUUUUGAAUUUCGCUCGCUCUCUUUCUCUCUCUAAACAUUUCCUCUCUUCUUUCUUUCUAAAACCCUAGCCUAUCAUCAUUGCAGAGGAAUUUGCAUGUUGUUUUCCACCAUCUGUGCUAGACCAGACCGGUGUUCACUUGACCAAGCUUUGAAUUGGAAAAAUAGUGAUGUGGUAUUCAUGGUGCAUGUGUUCUUGACAAAAGUUGCGAAAUUAUUAAGGAACUGCGAGGAAUCAUGUUGGUUGUUACACAAUUAUCCUCUUACUUUUAUCAAAAGGAGGAAGCCAAUAGUUCCUCCUCCAGAUAUAGUAAUAGAAGGGCUUGAAAAUGGAAGUUUCUUAUUUGAUGAACCCCUUAAGAAUUUCGAGGUCACUACAACAUAUUUAUUGGUGAUCUGAGCCCUGAAGUCAUUGAUGCUAUGCUGUUUGCAUGGUUCUCUGUUUAUGCUAGUUGUUUGGAUACGAGGGUUAUGUGGGAUCAAAAAACGGGUCGUUCACGAGGUUUUGGGUUUGUUUCCUUUUGGAACCAACAGGUUUAUAUUUAAAAUUAUAAAUUCAGAAUAUUUAGGUUUGUAAUCUUAUCAGGGAAAUGGCUUGGUUAUGGGUUUCAUAUAUAGGCUUAGCCCUUAGCAGUUAGCAUAUACCCUUCACAAUGGUAACAUGGAAUUUGCAAAGGUUAUCCUGAAGAAGGGGAAAACACAACUGUUUCGUGAUGGAAGCCCAAUGGUUAACGGGACACAAAAUCCAAUCAGUUGGGGCUUGCACAACUCGCGCUCUAUGUUAUGUAUGAGGCUCAUGCAGCUAGAGGAGGAAGUAUCAGGAUCCUUCUUGUGCAUUGGAUGUGGAAAAGGUGCUUGAAACAAGAAUAGAUGCAACCAUCAGAUUACGUAAAAGCUUAGGGCUCCCUUCUGCCAAUACAAAUGCAUAUCGUCUUGUGAAUAGUGAAGGAAAUAGCUGCAUGGGUUGAGAAGUACAAGCAACAUAUUAAGAAGAUGGUGGCUGGCUGUCUACAAAUUUUUUUUUGAUACAGUCAACCAAAAAUGGCAUGCCAAUCUCAAAUUCGUCAGUCUUUUUGUUCCGGUGGGGUGGAUGGAGACGGCAUAAGAGAUUGAUGACCUUUUUGUAGGAGAUGCUGAGGUAUGGAGAAGAGCAUGUAUAGGGAGAGGGCAUGCGGGUCCCACGGGGGGUGACUUUCCAGUAGUGACAAGAGAAGGACAUAAUGUUCUUGAUGUCAUAUUUACAUCCCCUAUACCCAACCUUGUUGAUGUGACAGGGUUGGCUUUUCAAAUAUCUGAUGCACCAUCUUCAUUUUCUGAUAUAUUUGCAAGCUUGUGUUUUCGAGCUCAAUGAAUAUUGUUACACAAUGUGAGUGGUUGGUUUGGCAAGGUUCCUCUAGAAGCUUCUGGAGAUUUCAGAAUUGAACCAGAGGAAGGAGAAUAUCACCUUAUGUGUCAGGUUCCUUCUGUGGAAAUAAAUGCCCGUUGGCAGGAUCAGUGAUAGUUGUUUUCAACCGUCAAGGCCCUUUGGAUGCUCCAGUAUUUGUGGGAAGUGGGCUGUUUCAAGAAAGUUAUCUACGAGGCAAUCAUGAAGAAUAAAGAGGCUGGUGCAGUGGCAACAUUUGACAGGGUUCCAUUCUCUUAUAUAUCGGCCAAUUUUACUUUCAAUACUGAUAAUUGUGUUGCAAAUUUAUAUGGAAUUAGAGCAAAUCUUGUAGAUGGUGGCGAGAUUCGUGGGGCAGGAAAUGCAUGGAUUUGUACAGAGGGAGCAAGCAUAGCUACUGUUUGAGUGGUAAAACUGGAGCGGGAGCGGGAAUCAAUCUUUCAUCUUUGUUAAUUGUGGAUGGGAGAGUGUGUUGGGAUUUAUAUAUUGAUGGUUUUCUGAUAAAUAUAGAUGGGAAUAUACUUGAUGCCUUAGGUGCUGCUAUCAAGGCUGCUUUUGAUAUGCAGUUGCUGUCAUAGCUGCUUCAACUGCUCCUUUUGACAAACAACCUGAAGUUGAUGUUAGUGAUGAAGAGUUUCUACAAUUUGACACAACUGCAAUUCCUGUCAUAGUUACUUUAAACAAGGGUGCUGCAAAUAUAAAAGUGGCAGGAACAGAUAUGAACAGCAAGCAGCCGGUCACAUAGUGUUUUCACCUGCUGGUUCUCAAAGAGGUCAAGUAUUUCUAUCAACCAAUUAAAAUUUCGUUCACCAAUGGCGUAAUUAAGAUUACAAACACCAAUUUCUUUCAAACAAGAGAAGAUCUAGAGUUUAAUUGGGUGAUUGAAGGUGAUGGAUGUAAACUUGAUUCUGGAACUCUCAGUCUACCAACAUUAGAGUUUAAUUGUGUGAUUGAAGGUGAUUUUGGUUCUUGAAACGAGACUCAAAAUAUCAUAUUUUGGCAUGGCUAGAAGCUCUGGAGGAAACGAGACUCAAGCAAAAAUAAACACAGAGAGAGUUUUUGGCACAUAGUAAGCUAGAUGAUGCAAUUGCAUAUAAAUGAGUUCAUUUUUUUAUAACAUUUAAUCACUUUUGGAAUAAUUAUUUGUAUCUGACAUAUUAGUGAAAUGAAUUAUCUUUUUUAUUUA
Non-coding RNA from Lactuca sativa (garden lettuce), 3315 nucleotides. NCBI's taxonomy places the organism in Eukaryota, Viridiplantae, Streptophyta, Magnoliopsida, Asterales, Asteraceae. The record is from RefSeq and is a predicted model, not a curated record.